Molecule: ribosomal RNA, 115 nt
Filed under: Acanthosepion pharaonis
Lineage: Eukaryota; Metazoa; Mollusca; Cephalopoda; Sepiida; Sepiidae
Source: RNAcentral
UUACGGUCAAAUCACGCUGGAAACACCGGUUCUCGUUCGAUCACCGAAGUUAAACAUCGUAGAGCCAGGUCAGUACUUAGAUGGGGGACCACUUGGGAACACCUGGUACUGUAAG